UACGGAGGAUGCGAGCGUUAUCCGGAUUUAUUGGGUUUAAAGGGUGCGUAGGCGGAUCGUUAAGUCAGUGGUCAAAUUGAGGGGCUCAACCCCUUCCCGCCAUUGAAACUGGCGAUCUUGAGUGGAAGAGAGGUAUGCGGAAUGCGUGGUGUAGCGGUGAAAUGCAUAGAUAUCACGCAGAACCCCGAUUGCGAAGGCAGCAUGCCGGCUUCCUACUGACGCUGAAGCACGAAAGCGUGGGGAUCGAACGGG
This 252-nucleotide ribosomal RNA is filed under the name uncultured bacterium. RNAcentral's name for it is "partial 16S ribosomal RNA". It matches the Rfam family "Bacterial small subunit ribosomal RNA", at positions 524 to 776 of the family's 1533-position model. The record is from RNAcentral.